Molecule: ribosomal RNA, 1315 nt
Filed under: unidentified marine bacterioplankton
Lineage: Bacteria
Description: bacterial SSU rRNA
Rfam family: Bacterial small subunit ribosomal RNA
Source: RNAcentral
GAGUUUGAUCAUGGCUCAGAACGUACGCUGGCGGCACGCCUAACACAUGCAAGUCGAACGAAGUAGCAAUACUUAGUGGCAGACGGGUGAGUAACAUGUGGGUAUCUGCCCUUUGGCCUGGAAUAACACGAGGAAACUUGUGCUAAUACCGGAUAAGUCUUUACGGAGAAAGCUUUAUGCACCAUUGGAUGAGCCCGCACUUGAUUAGUUUGUUGGUGGGGUAAUGGCCUACCAAGACUUUGAUCAAUAGCUGAUUUGAGAGGAUGAUCAGCCACAUUGGGACUGAGACACGGCCCAAACUCCUACGGGAGGCAGCAGUGGGGAAUCUUGCACAAUGGAGGAAACUCUGAUGCAGCGAUGCCGCGUGAGUGAAGAAGGCCCUUGGGUUGUAAAGCUCUUUCGUCGGGGAAGAAAAUGACUGUACCCGAAUAAGAAGGUCCGGCUAACUUCGUGCCAGCAGCCGCGGUAAUACGAAGGGACCUAGCGUAGUUCGGAAUUACUGGGCUUAAAGAGUUCGUAGGUGGUUGAAAAAGUUGGUGGUGAAAUCCCAGAGCUUAACUCUGGAACUGCCAUCAAAACUUUUCAGCUAGAGUUUGAUAGAGGAAAGCAGAAUUUCUAGUGUAGAGGUGAAAUUCGUAGAUAUUAGAAAGAAUACCAAUUGCGAAGGCAGCUUUCUGGAUCAUUACUGACACUGAGGAACGAAAGCAUGGGUAGCGAAGAGGAUUAGAUACCCUCGUAGUCCAUGCCGUAAACGAUGUGUGUUAGACGUUGGAAAUUUAUUUUCAGUGUCGCAGCGAAAGCGAUAAACACACCGCCUGGGGAGUACGACCGCAAGGUUAAAACUCAAAUGAAUUGACGGGGACCCGCACAAGUAGUGGAGCAUGUGGUUUAAUUCGAAGAUACGCGCAGAACCUUACCAACACUUGACAUGUUCGUCGCGACUCUAAGAGAUUAGAGUUUUCGGUUCGGCCGGACGAAACACAGGUGCUGCAUGGCUGUCGUCAGCUCGUGUCGUGAGAUGUUGGGUUAAGUCCCGCAACGAGCGCAACCCUCACUUUUAGUUGCCAUCAUUUAGUUGGGCACUCUGAAAGAACUGCCAGUGAUAAGCUGGAGGAAGGUGGGGAUGACGUCAAGUCCUCAUGGCCCUUACGUGUUGGGCUACACACGUGCUACAAUGGUAUCUACAACAGGAAGCAAGACGGCGACGUCAAGCAAAUCCUUAAAAGAUACCUCAGUUCGGAUUGCACUCUGCAACUCGAGUGCAUGAAGCUGGAAUUACUAGUAAUCGUGGAUCAGCGUGCCACGGUGAAUGCGU